Molecule: long non-coding RNA, 1899 nt
Organism: Carassius auratus (goldfish)
Lineage: Eukaryota; Metazoa; Chordata; Actinopteri; Cypriniformes; Cyprinidae
Exons: 4
Source: RefSeq, a predicted model, not a curated record
CAAGUACUGUGGCUCUUUUGCCCCAUGGCCAAGAUGGCCAAGCCAACAUCAAAGUUAGUUCACUAACUUUUAAUUCUAGUUAUUAUUAUUAUUUGUAUGAAAGGCUCGUAGAGAAAUUCGGUCUUUUGUGGAAGGGACUCUUAUUUUGAUAGUUGUAGACUGUAUUUCUACGUACAUCCAGUAGGAGGCAUUAUUGUACAAGUUUGCUGCCUGAUGACUGUUUACUAAGAGAACGGCAGCUGCACACAAGUUUUUCCUGCCUGUUAUUUUGGAUGUUUUUCGGGGUUUGGUGUUUCAAAGUGUUAGUUCAUGAUCAUAAAAUGGACAGAGAGUGGAAAGUAAUAGAUCAGAUGAGGAGAUGGAGAUAGAGGAAGAAAAAGAGGGAAAUGUAGAGGCACACAUGACAGAAAGAAAGCAGGAAAACUUAUUCUGGAACAACAGUGUGGGAUGUGAGAUGAGAACAGAGACACUUUGAGCUUUAACCACUAACCAUCGACCAACUGCUGACUGAUGAGGAAACAUCAUUAGCUUCUGAGAGACAAAGACAAACUGAACCACAGUGAUCUGAACUGAAGACAGCGACUGUAACACAUUUCAGUUUCAUUCAGCAACAUGAACGGUGAAAAUCAGACCUUGAUGGAUGAGCAAAGUUAUUAUUUUGAUACUGGUUAUUAUUACAAUAUUACUGAUUAUCUGAUUGAUGAAACUCAAUAUGAUUCUUCAGAAAUCAUUAUAGUAAUCUUCUUCAUCACUAGUGUUUGUGUGGGUCUUCCAGCUCUGGUUUGGGCUCUUCGUCUUCUGCACCUUCACAGAAAGAUCAGAGACCGAAUCUCAGUCUUCAUCCUCCUCCUCCUCCUCAAUGACCUGAUACAAUUACCCCUUCAUCUAUAUAUACUGGCAUAUAUACUGACAGAAUUAGAAUCCUUUAUCGAUGCGGUUAUCCAGCUUUGGUCAGGAUUACAUUGGUGUGGUUUUCAUCUGCAUCAGCUGGUGGCUCUGGAGGGGAUUUUGACUCUGAAAUAUCCGCUUUGUUCUGCUCGUAUUUUCUCACUGCCCUGUUACAUCAUAAUCUCCACCCUUGUGCUUUUUUUUUCUAUAGUGAGUGCAUUAUUUAUUUUCACAAAUUCAGAAAAUAGAAACAUGUCAUUAUUCAGUCUCAGCACAAGUUUUGUUCCUCUGAUCUUAUUGGCUGUAUCAUCUAUAAUCAGCUGUAAAGCCUCUUCCACUCCUGUCAGAAAAAACAGUUCGGUGCUCACUGUUGCUAUUCUUACAUUUGUUUUGAUGUACUUACCUUUCAUGUUCCUCAUCUGGGUGGAUUUACUUAAUUUAGAUCCAUAUGUCAACCAAUCUUGGUGGGUAAUAUCUUUCUGUUUGAUUAAUUUGAGAGUGAUUUCAGGCCCUAUUCUGUGUGUUUUGGUCUGUAGAGAAAAUCUCAGAGAUGUUCAGACGCCACAAACACACACAGAACCCAACGCUGAUGAGACGUCAUUCUGAACUUGAGUUUCAUUAGUCCUCACGUCUGAAUCUGGCUUCAAAACAUACACCCAUCAGUAUAAUGAAAAUUAUUAAUAAAAUAAAUAAUAUAUGACUUAAAGAUUGAUUCAUUUUAAAUGUCUGUGAUUGCUAAAAGUGAAAGUGUGCUCUCUAUGCCAAAAACAGCACAAAUUGAGUUUUUAUCUCUUUAAUGGUCAUUUUGGCAGUUUGUUUAAUAUUGUAAUAUAAAAAUUAUACGUAAAAAAAAAGUUAAAUCUAAAUGUCAAGUUUGUUGUUUAUGAUUGAUUUCAAUAUUCAUCAAUUGAAAGUCUGGUAACCGGACUUCCCAUAUACAAAAAAAGUGUAACAUUCAAUGUGAUUUCAGCUGUCAAUCAUCCAUAUAUUAGAAUAAAACAUCUAACACAA